GUCUGUUUAAUAUUAUUCAAUUAUUAUUAUUAUUAUUAUUAUUAUUAUAUUUAUUUAUUAGAAAAGCAUAGCAGUAUUAUUGUUGAUAUAUAAACAAGGGAGAUUAUUGUAAAAAAAAAUAGUACAGGCAUAUUCGUAAUAAAUAAUAGUAAUAUAAUGCGUGUAUAAUUAGGGAAUUAUUCUGUGUCCGCCUAUGCAAGCCACUGAAUGCAUGGUAUUUACUAAUUUUUUUUUUUUCUUUUCUCUUAUUUAGAAUAAAAUCCCCUAACACAACUCUUCAAAUUAUGUCCAUCGGUCUCACUCGGGCAGAAUUUAAUUCCACAUUCCUUUUAAAUGUACUUAUAAACUAUUUAUUUUGGAUUGAUUUGGGUUAUUUUGUACAUAUAAGGGCUACUGCCUUACCUUUCAUAUUGAAUUAGUUAAUGACUCUAGAAUGGAAAGGUGAUGAUCCUGUAAUCUAAGCAUAAGACCAACAAGGGUAGAGGCUGAAAUAAUAA
Molecule: long non-coding RNA, 497 nt
Filed under: Ricinus communis (castor bean)
Lineage: Eukaryota; Viridiplantae; Streptophyta; Magnoliopsida; Malpighiales; Euphorbiaceae
Description: long non-coding RNA (RCOM_LNC000300)
Source: RNAcentral